GUCGCCGUAGCUCAGUCGGUCAGAGCACUUCUCUGAUAAGGAAGAGGCCGGUGGUUCGAGCCCACCCGGCGACAC
This 75-nucleotide transfer RNA is filed under the name Virgisporangium aliadipatigenens. Its description in RNAcentral is "tRNA-Ile". It matches the Rfam family "tRNA". Rfam says of the family: Transfer RNA (tRNA) molecules are approximately 80 nucleotides in length. Their secondary structure includes four short double-helical elements and three loops (D, anti-codon, and T loops). The record is from RNAcentral. Lineage: Bacteria; Bacillati; Actinomycetota; Actinomycetes; Micromonosporales; Micromonosporaceae.